RNAcentral lists this transfer RNA (82 nucleotides) under Nematostella vectensis (starlet sea anemone). It matches the Rfam family "tRNA". From Rfam's summary of the family: Transfer RNA (tRNA) molecules are approximately 80 nucleotides in length. Their secondary structure includes four short double-helical elements and three loops (D, anti-codon, and T loops). Lineage: Eukaryota; Metazoa; Cnidaria; Anthozoa; Actiniaria; Edwardsiidae. The record is from Rfam by way of RNAcentral.
ACCAGGAUGGCAGAGUGGUUAAGGCGUGGAGCUUAAGUCCAAUGUACGAAUGUAUGCGUGGGUUCGGACCCCACUCCUGGUA